Molecule: ribosomal RNA, 406 nt
Filed under: uncultured bacterium
Lineage: Bacteria
Description: partial 16S ribosomal RNA
Rfam family: Bacterial small subunit ribosomal RNA
Source: RNAcentral
AACGAACGCUGGCGGCAGGCUUAACACAUGCAAGUCGAGCGAGCGGCGGACGGGUGAGUAAUGUCUGGGAAACUGCCUGAUGGAGGGGGAUAACUACUGGAAACGGUAGCUAAUACCGCAUACCAUCAGAUGUGCCCAGAUGGGAUUAGCUAGUAGGUGGGGUAAUGGCUCACCUAGGCGACGAUCCCUAGCUGGUCUGAGAGGAUGACCGGCCACAGUGGAACGGAGACACGGUCGAGACUCCUACGGGAGGCAGCAGUGGGGAAGAUUGCACAAGGGGCGCAAGCCGGAUGCAGCCAGGCCGCGUGUGUGAAGAAGGCUUUCGGGUUGUAAAGCACUUUCAGCGAGGAGGCGUUACUCGCAGAAUAAGCACCGGCUAACGCCGUGCCAGCAGCCGCGGUAAUUC